GAUGAACGCUGGCGGCGUGCCUAAUACAUGCAAGUCGAGCGAACAGACGAGGAGCUUGCUCCUCUGACGUUAGCGGCGGACGGGUGAGUAACACGUGGAUAACCUACCUAUAAGACUGGGAUAACUUCGGGAAACCGGAGCUAAUACCGGAUAAUAUAUUGAACCGCAUGGUUCAAUAGUGAAAGACGGUUUUGCUGUCUCUUAUAGAUGGAUCCGCGCCGCAUUAGCUAGUUGGUAAGGUAACGGCUUAUCAAGGCAACGAUGCGUAGCCGACCUGAGAGAGUGAUCGGCCACACUAGAACUGAGACACGGUCCAGACUCCUACGGGAGGCAGCAGUAGGGAAUCUUCCGCAAUGGGCGGAAGCUUGACGGAGCAGCGCCGCGUGAGUGAUGAAGGUCUUCGGAUCGUAAAACUCUGUUAUUAGGGAAGAACAAAUGUGUAAGUAACUAUGCACGUCUUGACGGUACCUAAUCAGAAAGCCACGGCUAACUACGUG
This 497-nucleotide ribosomal RNA is filed under the name uncultured bacterium. RNAcentral describes it as "partial 16S ribosomal RNA". It matches the Rfam family "Bacterial small subunit ribosomal RNA", at positions 28 to 507 of the family's 1533-position model. The record is from RNAcentral.